CGGUAACAGCUCAAAUUUGAAAUCUGGCUCUUUCAGGGUCCGAGUUGUAAUUUGUAGACGAUGCUUUGGGUGUGGUGCCGGUCUAAGUUCCUUGGAACAGGACAUCACAGAGGGUGAGAAUCCCGUAUGUGGCUGAUGGCUUUAACCAUGUAAAGUUCUUUC
Molecule: ribosomal RNA, 162 nt
Filed under: Hyaloscyphaceae sp.
Lineage: Eukaryota; Fungi; Ascomycota; Leotiomycetes; Helotiales; Hyaloscyphaceae
Description: partial large subunit ribosomal RNA
Rfam family: Eukaryotic large subunit ribosomal RNA
Source: RNAcentral